GCAACAACAACAACAGCAACAAUUGCCCUGUCCGUUUUUUUAAACCAAAAAUAUCUCUGCACCAUUAGAAUCAAGAGGUCACCUUUAACAGAACCUGGUGCUCAUUAUGGUGGCUCUGUUCUAUUCGAGGAACAUACAAGUCCGUCAACGAGAUGAGGGUACCCCUUGUUGAUGAAAUGAUGGUGCCUCCGUGGAUAACAUAAGAGUACCUCUAUGUGGCCGUUCCUUUUGCUGGAAAAAGUAGGUAAAUCUCCUUUUAAAUUGUGCAUCUUGCUCUUUUACUCUUUUACUUGUUUCAGUCAUUUUGACCGCGGCCAUGCUGGAGCACCGCCUUUAGUCGAGCAAAUUGACCCCGGGACUUAUUCUUUGUAAGCCCAGUACUUAUUCUAUCAGUCUCUUUUGCCGAACCGCUAAGUGACAAGCCCAUAGCUUUGACCUUCUGCACCAUUUCCACCCCUCCUCAUUGUUUUCAACUGCAGUUUGGGAACUUAAAUAGAUGUAUAUAUGUGUACAUUCAUACAUAUAUACAUAUGUGUGUGUGUGUGUGUGUGUAUACAAAUAUGUGUGCAUAUAUAUACUUAUAUAUAUAUGUUUACUCUUUACUCUUUUACUCUUUUACUUGUUUCAGUCAUUUGACUGCGGCCAUGCUGGAGCACCGCCUUUUAGUCGUGCAAAUUGACCCCGGGACUUAUUCUUUUGUAAGCCCAGUACUUAUUCUAUCAGUCUCUUUUGCCGAACCGCUAAGUGACGGGGACGUAAACACACCAGCAUCGGUUGUCAAGCAAUGCUAGGGGGACAAACACAGACACACAGACACACAUACAUAUAUAUAUAUAUAUAUACAUAUAUACGACAGGCUUCUUUCAGAUUCCGUCUACCAAAUCCACUCACAAGGCUUUGGUCGGCCCGGGGCUAUAGCAGAAGAUACUUGCCCAAGAUGCCACGCAGUGGGACUGAACCUGGAACCAUGUGGUUGGUUAGCAAGCUACUUACCACACAGCCACUCCUGCGCCUAUCUUGUAUUUUUUUGUCUAAAAUGAAGCAGCAAAAACACAUAAACACAUAUUAUAAUAUUUUUAUAUUGAAAAAUAACUUAGCAAUGAGAACUCAGGUUCGAAAUUUCCCCAAGACACCUGAUGAAGGCUGGAGGGUAUAUCAGCCGAAACGUUGUGUUAACAUCAAACAAGAUGAGGACAAAUAUCCGUCAAAUGUAAAUUAUGUAAAUAAUUCCUCAUCUCUUAAAUACAGAACUGAAAUACUACUACUACUACUACUACUACUACUAAUAAUAAUAAUAACAUUGAAAAAUACUUGAGGAAUGAUAACCCAGGUUCGAAAUAGCCCCAAGACACCUGAUGAAGGCUGGAGGGUAUAUCAGCCGAAACAUUGUGUUAACAACAAACAAGAUGAGGACAAAUAUCCGUCAAAUGUAAAUAAUGUAAAUAAUGAACAACAACAAUAACAAAACGACACUUUGAAUUAUGUAGUCCAAGAUACACUGUUCGAAUAAAAGAUGACGAUCAUUUGCUUCUUAAGUACCUUUGGCUAACGAUCCAAUUAAGUUAUGGUUAAAUAACAUCAGCAACAAUCACAAGGAACAGCACUUUGGAUACUAUAGUCCAAGGUACACUAUACUCUUUACUCUCUUUUACUUGUUUCAGUCAUUUGACCGCGGCCAUGCUGGAGCACCGCCUUUAGUCGAGCAAAUCGACCCCGGGACUUAUUCUUUGUAAGCCCAGUACUUAUUCUAUCGGUCUCUUUUACUUGUUUCAGUCAUUUGACUGUGGCCAUGCUGGAGCACCGCCUUCUAGUCGAUCGAGCAAAUCGACCCCGGGACUUAUUCUUUGUAAGCCCAGCACUUAUUCUAUCGGUCUCUUUUUGCUGAACCGCUAAGUGACGGGGACGUAAACACACCAGCAUCGGUUGUCAAGCAAUGCUAGGGAGACAAACAUAUAUACACACACUUAUAUAUAUAUAUACAUAUAUACGACAGGCUUCUUUCAGUUUCCGUCUACCAAAUCCUCUCACAAGGCAUUGGUUGUCCCGGGGCUAUAGCAGAAGACACUUGCCCAAGAUGCCACCAAGUGGGACUGAACCCGGAACCAUGUGGUUGGUAAGCAAGCUACUUACCACACAGCCACUCCUGCGCCUAUGUUUGAAUAAAAAACAGGACUGUUGUUUCCUGUAGCAACACUUUUUAUCAUAGCUCUGUUAGAUCAGGACUGACCCGGGGUUUAACAAUGACAACAUCAAUAAAAGACAAGGAGCAACACUUUGGUUGGGGUAGUCCAAGAUAGACUAUGUCUGUAUAAAAGACAGGAUACUCUCUCUCUUUUACUCUUUUACUUGUUUCAGACUGCGGCCAUGCUGGAGCACCGCCUUUAAUCAAGCAACCCGACCAGGGACUUAUUCUUUUGUAAGCCCAGUACUUAUUCUAUCGGUCUCUUUUGCCGAACCGCUAAGUAACGGGGACAUAAACACACCAGCAUCGGUUGUCAAGCAAUGCUAGGGGGACAAACACAGACGCACAAACACACACACAUACAUAUAUAUAUACAUAUAUACGACGGGCUUCUUUCAGUUUCUGUCUACCAAAUCCUCUCACAUGGCAUUGGUUGGCCUGGGGCUAUAGCAGAAGACACUUACCCAAGGUGCCACGCAGUGGGACUGAACCCGGAACCAUGUGGUUGGUAAGCAAGCUACUUACCACACAGCCACUCCUGCGCCUAUGCAUGAAUAAGAAACAGGACUGUUGUUCCCUGUAGCAACACUUUUUAUCAUAGCUCUGUUAGAUCAGGACUGACCCGGGGUUUAACAAUGACAACAUCAAUAAAAGACAAGGAGCAACACUUUGGAUGGGGUAGUCCAGGAUAGACUGUGUCUGAAUUAAAGACAGGAUGGUCAUUUUCUGUUGGAAUGGUUUUGAGCAUAGGCCUGUUGGAUCAGGACUAAUGCUCAGCCAAUUGACAACAACAACAACAACAACAACAACAGUAGCAACAACAAGAGCAGCAGCAACAAGUGAAGGCGCAAUGGCCCAAUGGUUAGGGCAGUGGACUCGCGGUCGGAGGAUCGCGGUUUUGAUUCCCAGACCGGGCGUUGUGUGUGUUUGUUGAGUGAAAACACCUAAAGCUCCACGAGGCUCCGGCAGGGGGUGGUGGCAACCUCUGUUGUACACUUUCACUCCAACAUCAAGUGGAGGCGCAAUGGUCCUAUGGUUAGGGCAGCGAACUUGCAGUCGGAGGAUCGCGGUUUUGAUUCCCAGACUGGGCGUUGUGUGUGUUUAUUGAGCGAAAACACCUAAAGCUCCACGAGGCUCCGGCAGGGGGUGGUGGCGACCCCUGUUGUACUCCUUCGCCCCAACUUUCUCUGACUCUUUCUUCCUGUUUCUAGUCCCCGACUUCCUACGCAACUGCUGAGCCUGGAUGCGCAUUCAUCCAUCCGUCGAUGCUCUCGGUGUCGGGGGUUGACCUGCUUUCUCUUCUGCGGGUCUUAUGAAUAGCAAAGGACCAUGUUUCGGACUUCUCCCAUCUUGCGAGCUCAGGGACGAAGACCGUUCGCUCAAUGGCAACUGCAGCAACAACAACAAUAAUAGGCUUAUUAUAAGAAAGAGACGGAAUAAAACUCUCGUUGUUGGGGGUUGACCUGCUUUCUCUUCUGUGGGUCUUACAAAUAGCAAAGGACCAUGUUUCGGACUUCUCCCACUACAGGAUGAAGACCGCUUCGUUCAACAGCAACAGCAGCAACAGCAGCAACAGCAGCAAUAACAAGAUCAAUUGCAAAGGUCGUGAGUUCAAUUCCUGGCAACACUUUAUUUCACAUUGCCCCAGUCUAUAUAUCAAAAGGCCAACCUUGUCACACUCCGUAUCACGCUGAAUCUCCCUGGGAACUAUGCUAAAAGCAUACAUACCUGUGGAGUACUCAGCCACUUGCAUGUUAAUUUCACAAGCUGGCCGUUCCGGUGAUUGGAUCAGCUGGAACCUUCUUGAAGCCAAUUCUAUCACAACACUCUCAAGGGACACGUUCUAGUGUAAUGACAAGGGCUGACCGAAAAGUUUAUAGGCUGACCAAGAUAAACGGGAUUUAUUUUUCAACAUAAUCCCUCUUGGGGUCUACACACUUCUUCCAUCAGUGUUACAGUUCUUGGAACCCAUUGGUGAAGAAGCUUUGAUUCUGUUAGUCAUAAAAAAGCCAUCGACAGCAGAUACGACAUCACCAUCACCACUUUGGUACUGGUUCCCAGCCAAGCGCUAUUCUCAUGCUGGGGAACGGAUAGAGAGAGCCAGCUCUGUAACAAUUCCUAAAAUUCAUGUUUGUACCAAUUCUACAAAUCUAUAAUUUGGCAAGUCUACAACGGUUCUACCAAGUCAGCUACCAAUAAAUGGAGGAAAAAAUCUAUUCCUUUAUGGAUUAAUAUAUGUAUGUAUGAACUAUGAGUGAAACCUCCAUGUGGUUGCUAGACCUGGUAGAAAUAGCAGCCAAAGGACCCUCAAAUCAUACCGUACAGUCAUAUUUAUUAAUAUAUAUAUGUACUUAUAGGUGCAGGAGUAGCUGUGUGGUAAGUAGCUUGCUUACCACCACAUGGUUCCGGGUUCAGUCCCACUGCGUGGCACCUUGGGCAAGUGUCUUCUGCUAUAGCCUCGGGCUGACCAAAGCCUUGUGAGUAGAUUUGGUAGAUGGAAACUGAAAGAAGCCCGUUGAUAUAUAUAUAUAAAUAUAUAUGUGUAUGUAUAUGUUUGUGUGUCUGUGUUUGUCCUCCCAACAUUGCUUGACAACCGAUGCUAGUGUGUUUACGUCCCCGUCACUUAGCGGUUCGGCAAGAGAGACUGGUAGAAUAAGUACUAGGCUUACAAAGAAUAAGUGAAAAAAGAAAAAAAGCCACAAUGGCGAAAUGUAUGUAGGAACUAAUGCAAACUUGUGUUUACCAUAAUUUCUCCUUCACACACACACACACACACACACACACACACACACACACACACACACACACACACAUACACACACACACAUGCUUGCAAAUGUAUUAUUUAAUGCAUAUUCACACACACACACACACACACACACAUACACACAUACACACAUGCUUGCAAAUGUAUUAUCUAAUGCAUAUGUUAUUUUUCUUUUGUCCUAGCUCUACUUCUGUGAAUAGUACCAAAACUAUGACAGAUCUUGUAUCCUGAUUCUUCAUAACUAGAAAUGGUCAUCUUGAAAAUGAGUCUACCUGUAUGUGUAGAUUCCUGAAAUAUCAAUACUUUGGUUACCGCUAACUUACCAAUAUCAUCAAGGUAUUUUGAACACAGAGUCUAAUGUUUU
RNAcentral lists this long non-coding RNA (5313 nucleotides) under Octopus vulgaris (common octopus). The record is from RNAcentral. Lineage: Eukaryota; Metazoa; Mollusca; Cephalopoda; Octopoda; Octopodidae.